This 493-nucleotide ribosomal RNA is filed under the name Veillonella parvula. Its description in RNAcentral is "bacterial SSU rRNA". It matches the Rfam family "Bacterial small subunit ribosomal RNA", at positions 28 to 492 of the family's 1533-position model. The record is from RNAcentral. Lineage: Bacteria; Bacillati; Bacillota; Negativicutes; Veillonellales; Veillonellaceae.
GACGAACGCGGCGGCGUGCUUAACACAUGCAAGUCGAACGAAGAGCGAUGGAAGCUUGCUUCUAUCAAUCUUAGUGGCGAACGGGUGAGUAACGCGUAAUCAACCUGCCCUUCAGAGGGGGACAACAGUUGGAAACGACUGCUAAUACCGCAUACGAUCUAAUCUCGGCAUCGAGGAUAGAUGAAAGGUGGCCUCUACAUGUAAGCUAUCACUGAAGGAGGGGAUUGCGUCUGAUUAGCUAGUUGGAGGGGUAACGGCCCACCAAGGCGAUGAUCAGUAGCCGGUCUGAGAGGAUGAACGGCCACAUUGGGACUGAGACACGGCCCAGACUCCUACGGGAGGCAGCAGUGGGGAAUCUUCCGCAAUGGACGAAAGUCUGACGGAGCAACGCCGCGUGAGUGAUGACGGCCUUCGGGUUGUAAAGCUCUGUUAAUCGGGACGAAAGGCCUUCUUGCGAAUAGUGAGAAGGAUUGACGGUACCCGAAUAGAAGCC